AAGCUCGUAGUUAAUUUCGGGGUUUUACCGUUGGUCGGGCUAACAAGUCUGUACUAGCGUGUAGAAUCUCUACCUUCUGGGGAACCAUCAUGUUAUUAAUUUAGCGUGGUGGGAAACCAGGACCUUUACCUUGAAAAAAUUAGAGUGUUCAAAGCAGGCUUACGUCUGAAUACAUUAGCAUGGAAUAAUAAAAUAGGACGGUGGUCCUGUUUUGUUGGUUUCUGAAUCACCGUAAUGAUUAAUAGGGAUAGUUGGG
Molecule: ribosomal RNA, 256 nt
Filed under: uncultured Scutellospora
Lineage: Eukaryota; Fungi; Glomeromycota; Glomeromycetes; Diversisporales; Gigasporaceae
Description: partial 18S ribosomal RNA
Rfam family: Eukaryotic small subunit ribosomal RNA
Source: RNAcentral